GACGAACGCUGGCGGCGUGCCUAAUACAUGCAAGUAGAACGCUGAAGGAGGAGCUUGCUUCUCUGGAUGAGUUGCGAACGGGUGAGUAACGCGUAGGUAACCUGCCUGGUAGCGGGGGAUAACUAUUGGAAACGAUAGCUAAUACCGCAUAAUAGUAGAUGUUGCAUGACAUUUGCUUAAAAGGUGCAAUUGCAUCACUACCAGAUGGACCUGCGUUGUAUUAGCUAGUUGGUGGGGUAACGGCUCACCAAGGCGACGAUACAUAGCCGACCUGAGAGGGUGAUCGGCCACACUGGGACUGAGACACGGCCCAGACUCCUACGGGAGGCAGCAGUAGGGAAUCUUCGGCACUGGACGGAAGUCUGACCGAGCAACGCCGCGUGAGUGAAGAAGGUUUUCGGAUCGUAAAGCUCUGUUGUAAGAGAAGAACGAGUGUGAGAGUGGAAAGUUCACACUGUGACGGUAUCUUACCAGAAAGGGACGGCUAACUACGUGCCAGCAGCCGCGGUAAUACGUAGGUCCCGAGCGUUGUCCGGAUUUAUUGGGCGUAAAGCGAGCGCAGGCGGUUAGAUAAGUCUGAAGUUAAAGGCUGUGGCUUAACCAUAGUACGCUUUGGAAACUGUUUAACUUGAGUGCAAGAGGGGAGAGUGGAAUUCCAUGUGUAGCGGUGAAAUGCGUAGAUAUAUGGAGGAACACCGGUGGCGAAAGCGGCUCUCUGGCUUGUAACUGACGCUGAGGCUCGAAAGCGUGGGGAGCAAACAGG
Molecule: ribosomal RNA, 763 nt
Filed under: uncultured Streptococcus sp.
Lineage: Bacteria; Bacillati; Bacillota; Bacilli; Lactobacillales; Streptococcaceae
Description: bacterial SSU rRNA
Rfam family: Bacterial small subunit ribosomal RNA
Source: RNAcentral